GGAAGGGGGGCGUGGAGGGAACCGGGAUCAGCCAGGGGCCAGCAUGAGCCUGAGGGAGGGAAGUCUGGAAGACCCCCAGGCUGACACCUCAGUCUCAUUCCUUCCCCACUUGGAGGCCAAGAUCCGUCAGACACACAGCCUUGCCCACCUCCUCACCAAAUAUGCUGAGCAGCUGCUCCAGGAAUAUGUGAGUGAGAAUGGGGGUUGGGGUGUCAAGGGUCUGGGGAUUGGGGAAGCACAGGUCACAGAGGUCCUCCA
This 258-nucleotide long non-coding RNA is filed under the name Cavia porcellus (domestic guinea pig). RNAcentral's name for it is "lncRNA (ENSCPOG00000024645.2)". Lineage: Eukaryota; Metazoa; Chordata; Mammalia; Rodentia; Caviidae. The record is from RNAcentral.